Molecule: RNase P RNA, 361 nt
Filed under: Anaerolineae bacterium
Lineage: Bacteria; Bacillati; Chloroflexota; Anaerolineae
Description: RNase P RNA component class A
Rfam family: Bacterial RNase P class A
About the family: Ribonuclease P (RNase P) is a ubiquitous endoribonuclease, found in archaea, bacteria and eukarya as well as chloroplasts and mitochondria. Its best characterised activity is the generation of mature 5'-ends of tRNAs by cleaving the 5'-leader elements of precursor-tRNAs.
Source: RNAcentral
CAGGCUGACCGGGUGAUCGCUCUCCUGCACGUCAGGGGGGAGGAAAGUCCGCCCUCCGUAGGGCGCGGUGCUGGCUAACGGCCAGGCGGGGAAACCCGACGGAAAGCGCAACAGAGAACGGAUUGCUCCGCGCGAGCGGAGUGAGGGUGAAAAGGUGGUGUAAGAGACCACCGGCGCGGACAGCGAUGUUCGCGGCCAGGCAAACCCCACCGGGAGCAAGGCCGAGCAGGCGCAUUGGGGCGGCUCGUCCCGCAAAAAGCGCCGGGUUGGCUGCUUGACCCCGGCUGGCAACGGUCGGGGCAGAUAGAUGAUCACCACCUCGCAAGAGGCACAGAAGGCGGCUUAUAGGUCGGCCUGGGCA